Molecule: non-coding RNA, 29 nt
Filed under: Homo sapiens (human)
Lineage: Eukaryota; Metazoa; Chordata; Mammalia; Primates; Hominidae
Also listed under: 4 other names
Source: RNAcentral
GUCGCUGGUUCGAUUCCGGCUCGAAGGAC